Heterocephalus glaber (naked mole-rat) is the source of this 729-nucleotide long non-coding RNA. Lineage: Eukaryota; Metazoa; Chordata; Mammalia; Rodentia; Bathyergidae. The record is from Ensembl.
GCUACACUUGGAGCCUACACCAUGCUCUUAUCAGCCUAGGCAAGGCACUGUCCGAAUCCCUGCUUUCCCCAGAGACUUCCGCCCCAGCCAGCAUCUGUUUCCUCUGCUAUAUUUAAACAACCAGGUUAGUGAACUUGGGACAGCAUUUCUGCCCAGGAGGAACAAAGCCUUCCACAGAACACACAGGAUAUAUUGUGAUUCUGAGGCCUUGUGGGUUGCUGUGUGCUCCUUCUCAGCUACUGGGAAUCAAAAUACAAAUCCAAUGAAUACUUAAGAGCUGUAUCCAGAACUAAAACAUACCGUGGCUGUCAGAAAGUCAAGAGGAAGAAAUCAUGAAAGUCAGGGGAGCACCUCGUUCAAAGUAUCUGACUGGUCUUAAAAUCAUCUCAUGAAGAUGAGGAAUCAGCCAAGUCAACUAGUGAUGAACUCAUCCAUGGAGUUCUCAAAAGUUGCACAGAAGCUCUGGCAAUAAAAAGGCCACAGGAGAGCUUUCCUGAGAUGAAGCAGAGGCUGAGGACGUGGGAGUCUUAGCUGCUGACACACACAAGUGCUGACCCUGGAAAGUACCGCCGCUGAAUCAAAAAGCCACUUCCCAGAGAUGACAGCAGUGCUGAAGUUUGGCUUCCUGGUGCACCACUGAUUUGUCCAGAACAUUGAGGCCAACAUUUCGCCUCUGUCCUUUCAUGCCUUAGUUUCCUAGCAUGUGGGAAGGUAGUGACAACAAAGGGA